This 468-nucleotide ribosomal RNA is filed under the name uncultured bacterium. RNAcentral's name for it is "partial 16S ribosomal RNA". It matches the Rfam family "Bacterial small subunit ribosomal RNA", at positions 28 to 507 of the family's 1533-position model. The record is from RNAcentral.
GACGAACGCUGGCGGCGUGCUUAACACAUGCAAGUCGAACGGAAAGGCCCUGCUUUUGUGGGGUGCUCGAGUGGCGAACGGGUGAGUAACACGUGAGUAACCUGCCCUUGACUUUGGGAUAACUUCAGGAAACUGGGGCUAAUACCGGAUAGGAGCUCCUGCUGCAUGGUGGGGGUUGGAAAGUUUCGGCGGUUGGGGAUGGACUCGCGGCUUAUCAGCUUGUUGGUGGGGUAGUGGCUUACCAAGGCUUUGACGGGUAGCCGGCCUGAGAGGGUGACCAGCCACAUUGGGACUGAGAUACGGCCCAGACUUCUACGGGAGGCAGCAGUGGGGAAUAUUGCACAAUGGGCGGAAGCCUGAUGCAGCAACGCCGCGUGCGGGAUGACGGCCUUCGGGUUGUAAACCGCUUUCGCCUGUGACGAAGCGUGAGUGACGGUAAUGGGUAAAGAAGCACCGGCUAACUACGUG